This is an RNA transcript of Glycine soja, 1273 nucleotides long. It is a transcript of the gene named NADH dehydrogenase [ubiquinone] iron-sulfur protein 8-B, mitochondrial-like, with no coding region annotated. NCBI's taxonomy places the organism in Eukaryota, Viridiplantae, Streptophyta, Magnoliopsida, Fabales, Fabaceae. The transcript is spliced from 9 exons. The record is from RefSeq and is a predicted model, not a curated record.
ACCGCGUGGAUUCAUUUGACGGUUCACCGAACGAACGAACAUACAUCUGCAAAUUCCUCCUAACUCCUAAGAUUCGGCGAGUUGUUUUGUUCCACUUGAGAGUGAGGAAUGAAGAAGCUGAUCUUGCAUUCGCAUCUCUCACUGCUUCUCAUUUAUUGUCAGGUUUUAGGUUCCACAACAAUAGCUUCUCUUUCCAUCUGUCUUUGCACAAAUGGCUGCAAUCUUAGCUCGGAAAUCACUUCUUGCUCUUCGAACACUCCAACUGGCUGUAAGUGGUCAAGGGCUACACAACUUCCAAAACUAUGGCCUGCCAUUAAGUGCACAGUCCUACUCUACCAAAAAAGAGGAUGAAGAAAGGGAGCAACUUGCAAAGGAAAUUUCAAAGGAUUGGAGUUCUGUUUUUGAGCGUAGCAUCAACACAUUUUUUCUCACUGAAAUGGUUGGAGGUUUAAUGCUGACACUGAAAUACUUCUUUGAAACAAAAGUUACAAUUAACUAUCCUUUUGAGAAAGGCCCUUUGAGCCCUCGUUUCCGCGGUGAACAUGCACUCCGACGAUAUCCAACAGGGGAGGAACGUUGCAUUGCUUGCAAACUCUGUGAAGCUAUAUGUCCUGCUCAAGCGAUUACAAUUGAGGCUGAGGAAUGAGAAGACGGCAGCCGCAGGACAACUCGGUAUGAUAUUGACAUGACCAAGUGCAUCUAUUGUGGAUUUUGUCAAGAGGCAUGCCCUGUUGAUGCCAUUGUUGAAGGGCCAAACUUUGAAUUUGCUACAGAGACUCAUGAGGAGCUUCUAUAUGACAAAGAGAAGCUGCUUGAAAAUGGGGACCGAUGGGAAACUGAAAUUGCAGAGAACCUGAUAUCUGAAAGCCUUUAUCGCUGAUAAUUUCCGCGUGCUCCUUGGCUGUUGCUUUUUUGGAUCUAAUUGAGUAAUGACGAAUAAAAUGAUCAGUAAAUGGUUUUAAAAUAACUGCAUGGAUUUAUGGUUGUUACAUCAUUUUUAUUUUUUUUUCCCCCAUCUUUUGCAUUGCUGGUAAGAAAACUAUAGUGGCGAGCUUUUCUUCUUGAUCGUCCUUUUAGUUCAUUGAAGACAUUGAGGAUUCGAUGAUUACCAGCAUGUAUCUAUCCGAUAAAAGGGAGAAUGGUGCAUUCUGCAAUUAGGCGUGUGUACGACUAAAUUAGAUCAGCUUGGUAAUUCGUAAUAAGGUAUGAGUAUGUCUUAAUACUAAUGCCCUUUUGUUUAAUCAGAAAUUUUGAACAACUCUUUUUAUUUCAA